RNAcentral lists this ribosomal RNA (253 nucleotides) under uncultured prokaryote. Its description in RNAcentral is "partial 16S ribosomal RNA". It matches the Rfam family "Bacterial small subunit ribosomal RNA", at positions 525 to 777 of the family's 1533-position model. The record is from RNAcentral.
ACGAAGGGUGCAAGCGUUACUCGGAAUUACUGGGCGUAAAGCGUGCGUAGGUGGUUCGUUAAGUCUGAUGUGAAAUCCCCGGGCUUAACCUGGGAACUGCAUUUGUGACUGCAUAGCUAGAGUACGGUAGAGGGGGAUGGAAUUCCGCGUGUAGCAGUGAAAUGCGUAGAUAUGCGGAGGAACACCGAUGGCGAAGGCAGUCCCCUGGACCUGUACUGACGCUCAUGCACGAAAGCGUGGGGAGCAAACAGGA